RNAcentral lists this ribosomal RNA (511 nucleotides) under Salmonella enterica subsp. enterica serovar Enteritidis. Its description in RNAcentral is "partial 23S ribosomal RNA". It matches the Rfam family "Bacterial large subunit ribosomal RNA", at positions 111 to 666 of the family's 2925-position model. Lineage: Bacteria; Pseudomonadati; Pseudomonadota; Gammaproteobacteria; Enterobacterales; Enterobacteriaceae. The record is from RNAcentral.
UACCCGAAUGGGGAAACCCAGUGUGACUCGUCACACUAUCAUUAACUGAAUCCAUAGGUUAAUGAGGCGAACCGGGGGAACUGAAACAUCUAAGUACCCCGAGGAAAAGAAAUCAACCGAGAUUCCCCCAGUAGCGGCGAGCGAACGGGGAGGAGCCCAGAGCCUGAAUCAGCAUGUGUGUUAGUGGAAGCGUCUGGAAAGGCGCGCGAUACAGGGUGACAGCCCCGUACACAAAAGCGCAUGUGCUGUGAGCUCGAUGAGUAGGGCGGGACACGUGGUAUCCUGUCUGAAUAUGGGGGGACCAUCCUCCAAGGCUAAAUACUCCUGACUGACCGAUAGUGAACCAGUACCGUGAGGGAAAGGCGAAAAGAACCCCGGCGAGGGGAGUGAAAAAGAACCUGAAACCGUGUACGUACAAGCAGUGGGAGCACCCUUUGGGUGUGACUGCGUACCUUUUGUAUAAUGGGUCAGCGACUUAUAUUCUGUAGCAAGGUUAACCGAAUAGGGGAGC